UGGGACACCGGGUGGGUAGAAAGCAA
This 26-nucleotide non-coding RNA is filed under the name Mus musculus (house mouse). The record is from RNAcentral. Lineage: Eukaryota; Metazoa; Chordata; Mammalia; Rodentia; Muridae.